GACGAACGCUGGCGGCGUGCCUAACACAUGCAAGUCAACUUGACUGAAGGAGCAAUCUGACAGUAGAGUGGCGCAAGGGUGCGUAACGCGUAAGUAACUUGCCCAAGGUAAGGAAUAACGUCGAGAAAUCGGCGCUAAUACCUCAUAAUGCAGCGGAUCCGCAUGGAUAUGUCGUUAAAGGUUUACCGCCUUGGGAUAGGCUUGCGUCUGAUUAGUUAGUUGGUGUGGUAACGGCACACCAAGGCUACGAUCAGUAACUGGUCUGAGAGGACGAUCAGUCACACUGGAACUGAGACACGGUCCAGACUCCUACGGGAGGCAGCAGUGAGGAAUAUUGGGCAAUGCUCGAAAGAGUGACCCAGCAACGCCGCGUGGAGGAUGAAGGUAUUCUAUAUCGUAAACUCCUGUGAGAGCAGACGAAAGACAGAUUAUUAAUCUGGAUGACUGUAUGCUCAGAGGAAGCCCCGG
This 468-nucleotide ribosomal RNA is filed under the name uncultured bacterium. Its description in RNAcentral is "bacterial SSU rRNA". It matches the Rfam family "Bacterial small subunit ribosomal RNA", at positions 28 to 496 of the family's 1533-position model. The record is from RNAcentral.